GACAGAGGGUGCAAACGUUGCUCGGAAUCACUGGGCGUAAAGGGCGUGUAGGCGGGAAGGAAAGUCAGAUGUGAAAUCCCCAGGCUCAACCUGGGAACUGCAUUUGAAACUCCCUUUCUUGAGUGCCGGAGAGGAAAGCGGAAUUCCUGGUGUAGAGGUGAAAUUCGUAGAUAUCAGGAGGAACACCAGCGGCGAAGGCGGCUUUCUGGACGGUAACUGACGCUGAGACGCGAAAGCGUGGGGAGCAAACAGG
This 253-nucleotide ribosomal RNA is filed under the name uncultured bacterium. RNAcentral describes it as "partial 16S ribosomal RNA". It matches the Rfam family "Bacterial small subunit ribosomal RNA", at positions 524 to 776 of the family's 1533-position model. The record is from RNAcentral.